CGAGCCUCUGGAGAGACUACCGAUUGCAUUAACUUGCAAUAAUAGGUGGCGCCGAAGGCGAAAGUGUCGCAGUGUGUUAAGCGACGCGAAACGCUCAGGCAAAAGGACAGAGGAGA
This 116-nucleotide non-coding RNA is filed under the name Shewanella xiamenensis. RNAcentral's name for it is "Glycine riboswitch". It matches the Rfam family "Glycine riboswitch aptamer", at positions 8 to 87 of the family's 94-position model. From Rfam's summary of the family: This family represents the bacterial glycine riboswitch. Glycine riboswitches usually consist of two metabolite-binding aptamers domains with similar structures in tandem. Lineage: Bacteria; Pseudomonadati; Pseudomonadota; Gammaproteobacteria; Alteromonadales; Shewanellaceae. The record is from RNAcentral.